RNAcentral lists this ribosomal RNA (1057 nucleotides) under uncultured Actinomycetes bacterium. Its description in RNAcentral is "bacterial SSU rRNA". It matches the Rfam family "Bacterial small subunit ribosomal RNA", at positions 345 to 1394 of the family's 1533-position model. Lineage: Bacteria; Bacillati; Actinomycetota; Actinomycetes. The record is from RNAcentral.
GAGGCAGCAGUGGGGAAUCUUGCGCAAUGGGCGAAAGCCUGACGCAGCGACGCCGCGUGAGGGAAGAAGGCCUUCGGGUUGUAAACCUCUUUCAGGAGGGACGAAGCCACUCGGGUGAACAGCCCAGAGGGUGACGGUACCUCCAGAAGAAGCCCCGGCUAACUACGUGCCAGCAGCCGCGGUAAUACGUAGGGGGCGAGCGUUGUCCGGAUUUACUGGGCGUAAAGAGCGUGUAGGCGGCCACGCAGGUCCGUUGUGAAAACUGGAGGCUCAACCUUCAGACGUCGACGGAAACCGUGUGGCUAGAGUCCGGAAGAGGAGAGUGGAAUUCCUGGUGUAGCGGUGAAAUGCGCAGAUAUCAGGAAGAACACCAAUGGCGAAGGCAGCUCUCUGGGACGGUACUGACGCUGAGACGCGAAAGCGUGGGGAGCGAACAGGAUUAGAUACCCUGGUAGUCCACGCCGUAAACGAUGGGUGCUAGGUGUGGGAGGUGUCGACUCCUCCCGUGCCGCAGCUAACGCAUUAAGCACCCCGCCUGGGGAGUACGGCCGCAAGGCUGAAACUCAAAGGAAUUGACGGGGGCCCGCACAAGCAGCGGAGCAUGUGGUUUAAUUCGAUGCAACGCAGAAGAACCUUACCAGGGCUUGACAUGCACCGGAAAGCCGUAGAAAUACGGCCCUCCUUCGGGACCGGUGCACAGGUGGUGCAUGGCUGUCGUCAGCUCGUGUCAUGAGAUGUUGGGUUAAGUCCCGCAACGAGCGCAACCCCUGUCCCAUGUUGCCAGCGAGUCAUGUCGGGGACUCAUGGGAGACUGCCGGUCACAAAUCGGAGGAAGGUGGGGAUGAUGUCAAGUCAUCAUGCCCCUUAUGGGUAGGGCUACACACGUCAUACAAUGGCGCGUACAGAGGGUUGCCAACCCCCGAGGGGGAGCCAAUCCCAGAAAGCGCGUCGUAGUCCGGAUUGGAGUUUGCAACUCGACUCCAUGAAGUAGGAAUCGCUGGUAAUCGCGGAUCAGCAUGCCCCAGUGAAUACGUUCCCGGGCCUUGUACACACCGCC